GGCGCAGGCGGCCUGUCAAGUCGGAUGUGAAAUCUCCCGGCUCAACCGGGAGGGUGCAUUCGAAACUGAUGGGCUAGAGUGCAGCAGAGGAAGAUGGAAUUCCCGGUGUAGUGGUGAAAUGCGUAGAUAUCGGGAAGAACACUAGUGGCGAAGGCGGUCUUCUGGGCUGUAACUGACGCUGAGGUCCGAAGGCGUGGGGAGCAAACAGGAUCAGAUACCCUGGUAGUCCACGCAGUAAACCAUGGAUACUAGGUAUGGGGAGUAUCGACCCUCUCCGUGCCGAAGCUAACGCUUUAAGUAUCCCGCCUGGGGACUACGGUCGCAAGACUAAA
RNAcentral lists this ribosomal RNA (332 nucleotides) under uncultured bacterium. Its description in RNAcentral is "bacterial SSU rRNA". It matches the Rfam family "Bacterial small subunit ribosomal RNA", at positions 568 to 898 of the family's 1533-position model. The record is from RNAcentral.